Molecule: ribosomal RNA, 492 nt
Filed under: uncultured bacterium
Lineage: Bacteria
Description: partial 16S ribosomal RNA
Rfam family: Bacterial small subunit ribosomal RNA
Source: RNAcentral
AGUGAACGCUGGCGGUAGGCCUAACACAUGCAAGUCGAACGGCAGCACAGUAAGAGCUUGCUCUUACGGGUGGCGAGUGGCGGACGGGUGAGGAAUACAUCGGAAUCUACUUUUUCGUGGGGGAUAACGUAGGGAAACUUACGCUAAUACCGCAUACGACCUACGGGUGAAAGCAGGGGAUCUUCGGACCUUGCGCGAUUGAAUGAGCCGAUGUCGGAUUAGCUAGUUGGCGGGGUAAAGGCCCACCAAGGCGACGAUCCGUAGCUGGUCUGAGAGGAUGAUCAGCCACACUGGAACUGAGACACGGUCCAGACUCCUACGGGAGGCAGCAGUGGGGAAUAUUGGACAAUGGGCGCAAGCCUGAUCCAGCCAUACCGCGUGGGUGAAGAAGGCCUUCGGGUUGUAAAGCCCUUUUGUUGGGAAAGAAAAGCAGCAGGUUAAUACCCCACUGUUCUGACGGUACCCAAAGAAUAAGCGCCGGCUAACUUCGUG